UUUUUUUUUUUUAGUUUCAUACGUAGGACGAAAAAAAAAAUUGUUAUUAAAUAAAUAGAUGAAACGAAAAGAAAAAUUGUAAUACUUGUGUAAGCUUUUUAAAAUAUUGAAACAUUGUAAAGCUAUAUAUGAAUAUAUAUUAUAUAUAAUUGUUAAAUUUAUAACCGUAAAAUUAGGUAAUGACCGUAAUAUGAUUCUACUUAAUAAUGUUUACGAAAUAUUUAGCGAUAUAUUUUUUUUUUUUUUCAAACUUUUUUUUUUUUUUUUUUUUAAUCCAAAUAAACCAUUGUACAACUUCGGGUAUCUAGUUACUAUGUAAUGUUAUGAAAAAAACAAAAAAAAAAAAAAAAAUUAAAAUAAUAACAAUAAUGUUGUUCGGCUAUUAAAAUCGCUAUAAUAAUAAUAAUAUGUGCAAGACAAACACGCGAAAAAAAAAAAAAAAAAAAAAAAAAAAAAAACUCAGAGAUUUAAUAAUAUGGUAAUGUAUGUUCCGAAUAAAAGUCCUGUAUACAAAGACAUUUAAAUAUUGGACGUUUUUAUUUCACCGCGCCCGUUUGCGCGUCGCGCGCACCGCAUUAUUGCGCUCACUCCGUCGCUACCGUCACUGCGUGCCGCACGCGCGCGUGCACACAGUCCGACGCGCGUGCGGCACGUUAUACGGGGUGAUCCGUUUGUCGCGGACCGCCGGCGCGUUUGAUUUCUGGAAUUUCUCUUUCCGUUUUAUCGCGCGGGAGCUCCGUUGUCCCGACGUUACGAUGCACUGCACGACGUUGGCCAUCGCCCCGUCAGUCUCCUCCCCUCCCCCUCCACCCCGUCGGCCGCACGGUCUAUUGAACGUGACGAACGUUCGCGGAAUGUUUUUUACCGCGACUAAUGGAAAAAAGGUAAAAAAAAAAAAAAAAGAAAAAAAAAAAAACGGAAAUCAAAUUCUCUACGAACCGCACGGGGAAAUCGCCGGUUCGUGGCAAACGGACGACCAGCCCAUGUACGCGCAUUACAUUAUAUGCGUUUACUAUCAUCCUGAACAAUCACGUUGUCUUUCUCUUUUGAAACCAUACACAGGUGUACGAUACGGUUUCAACAGUGUAUUGAUAUUGAAACUCUUCCGCUCGACUGCACGACCGUGCAAUAUUAAUUGUUAACGAAACCGAAAUUCUCGUUUAAUAACUAUUGAAUUGAAAUCUUUUGAACAAAAAUUAAAAAACUCCGCACAAAAAAAAAAAAAAAGAAAUUAGGUAAAAUACAUAAGGUAAUGUUGAGCAAAUAAUACGCUCUGAAACGUAAAGUUUAAUUAAUUAUUAUCAAUGGUGACCGUGACGAACGUGUUUUGGAAAAAGGUAUUUUUAAAUUGUAUUUUAAAUACUAUUCGAACACAUGAAAAUAAUAAAAAAAAAUUAAAAAAUUAACCAGUGCAAAUACAUUAAGGUCUACGCCUAUACGGAGUGUGCCACGAUGAUCCACCGUUUGAAAUAACUUUUGCUCUAUUCGAUAUAUUUUUUUUCUUUUAAUAAUAAUUAGUAUGCCUCUUAUAGUUUUUUUUCCAGGAGAGGGGACUUAAAGUUAAAAAUUUUAAAUUUUACUAUAAUUUUUAAAACAAAAAUUUCAAUAUAGCCAUUUUAUUUUUAGAAAAUUGUAGGUGGUUGAAACUUUUGUUAAAAUAUGGUCUUUUAUUUUCUACGUUUUUUUUUUGAAGUUUUUUCAAAUGUGUACAUUACCUACGUGUUCUAAAACUAUUAUACGUACAGUAACUUACGUUAUUCUAUUACAAUAUUCCAUCAGUUAUUAGUCGGGGCACAUGACAAGGAUGUUCUUUUCCACGAGUUUGGAAUAUCAUGCAACACUAUUAUCACCGUAUUAUUACGGAUAUCAUGUAGUAUCAAUCAAUCAAAACAAUGGUCGUUUAUGUCGAUAAACAAUAUUACUACGGUUGAAAAGAAAAUUAUUGAAAUUUCCGAAAAAAAAAAAAAACGUUCACGCGUAAACUGCAACGCGGAGGCAUACUAAUUAUUAAAAACAAAUAUCGAAUAGAACAAGUUAUUUUUAAGUGGCGAAUCGUCGCGAGCCUACUCGCCGGUACAUUGUCAUGAUGCGCGCCGUCUCCGUCUCAUCGGCGCAUCACGGCGCAUCGGAAUCGUCACGGCGUUACUCUGGGACCGAAAAGACGGCGGCGUUUCGGUCGAAACAAGCGGUUAAACGCGAGUCGAGAAAAUCCGGGAGACGGGAGAGCAUUGUCGAGGGCCGCGCGCAAACCGCGGCGGCGUUUCGCGUUUUAUUAAACGGCCGUGCGAGAGGUCCGGCCGACCAGUGAAACGGCGCCGGCCUUUUAGCCGCGCUCGCGGUGGUACCGCUGCGAGGGCCCGCGAGCGUUUCGGGGAAAAUCCGCCGUCGAAAAGUUGUCCGCUCUCCGAGUUACCAAUUACCCGCGCCGUUUGCGCUCGGGCGCCGAUUUCAAUGCGAUCGCCGCGACCUGCUCACGGCGCGGGCACCGCGAUUAUUUUUCGGUGUUUCUUCCCCCUCCCCCUCCCCCUCCCCCCGUCAGUCUAGAAUGCCGAGACGGCGAUUUCGGGCGCGUGACGUCGCCGUUUAAAUUCCACCGUGCUAUAAAUAAAUGCCCGCGUAAAAAUAAUAUCCGCGUAUAUUUUUCGCGAAUCGUUCAAAUCGGUAAAAAACCUACAGUGCGUACGCGCGCACGUAGGCAGUUCGAAUUUGAACGAUACGGGGGCACAGGGUCGUUUUUUAUCGCGGAC
Molecule: long non-coding RNA, 2747 nt
Filed under: Cinara cedri
Lineage: Eukaryota; Metazoa; Arthropoda; Insecta; Hemiptera; Aphididae
Source: RNAcentral